ACCGUGCGAAGGUAGCAUAAUCAUUUGUUCUUUAAAUGGGGACUAGCAUGAAUGGCAUCACGAGGGUUAUACUGUCUCCUUACUCCAAUCAAUAAAACUAAUCUUCCCGUGAAGAAGCGGGAAUGCACAUAUAAGACGAGAAGACCCUAUGGAGCUUCAAACUACUUGCACUAGCUUACACAUUAAUACGUCCCCGGACGAUAAUACUAAAUUUAGCUUCAUGACUGCUAGUUUUAGGUUGGGGUGACCACGGAGAACAAAACAACCCCCGUAUUGAAAAGAAUAAUUUCCUGAGCAAAAAGCUACAACUUUAAGCACUAACAAAUUAACAUCAAUUGACCCAAUACUUUGAUCAACGAACCAAGUU
RNAcentral lists this ribosomal RNA (367 nucleotides) under Dendropsophus sp. VOGT2211. RNAcentral's name for it is "partial 16S ribosomal RNA". It matches the Rfam family "Bacterial large subunit ribosomal RNA", at positions 1945 to 2444 of the family's 2925-position model. Lineage: Eukaryota; Metazoa; Chordata; Amphibia; Anura; Hylidae. The record is from RNAcentral.